GGGGUACGAGGCAAUCCCCAAGUCUAUUCAUGUGUAUAUAUAUCAUAGAGGUUGAAGGGUAAAAGGGAAUCUUCGGCCAUCUAUGGUAUUUCUAGUUUGUGUGACUACAUGUACUGGGGCCCUUUCAGGCUGUAAUACUUGACCUUUAUAGCCCGUGGGUGAAAUUAUAAUGGUAAAUCUACACAAUCGAGGUUAAGGUUUCAAAAUGCAUGCUACCCUUCUUCCCUAUCUCGGC
RNAcentral lists this long non-coding RNA (235 nucleotides) under Capsicum annuum. RNAcentral describes it as "long non-coding RNA (CANN_LNC011417)". Lineage: Eukaryota; Viridiplantae; Streptophyta; Magnoliopsida; Solanales; Solanaceae. The record is from RNAcentral.